Molecule: long non-coding RNA, 1875 nt
Organism: Homo sapiens (human)
Lineage: Eukaryota; Metazoa; Chordata; Mammalia; Primates; Hominidae
Gene: FTX
Product: FTX transcript, XIST regulator
Source: Ensembl
GCGGCGAUUCUGGAGAGGUUGUCCUUUUCUGGCAUCAGCGUUGCGGCUCGAGGCAAAGCUGGUCCUGUGCCUGCUGUCCAUUGCCGCUAAGGCCUGCUGCUGCCAUUCAGGCGUGUCUCUCUCUCUCUCUCUCUUUCAUGCCGCUCUCUCCACCCCAUCUUGGGACGGCCAGCUCUAAGAAUUCCUGCUACGACACUGAAUUCAACCAGGAGGUGAUGCCACACUCAAUCAGAAACUAUGCUACUGCUGAAGAGGUAUAUUGAGCCCUGCCUGGUUAACCUCCAGUGAGGUUAUUAGAGAAUUGGGAGAGGCUCAAAUCAGCAUCCUGCACCUAGUUAUCAAACCAUUGUGAAGUCUUGAUUCCUGGAUGGCCAGAAAACUUGUCAUUGGUCAAGAGCAACAUUAAGAUCUGCCUGUUACUCAUACUGAUGCUUCCUGCCCAGCAAGUUCAUCAGAGGGCGAGGAUGAAUUACGGUUGCCAUGAAUGUCCUUGUGAGGCAGUUGGGAAGCCUUGGCUGGAUUGUGAAGGAUAUUUGAAAAGUAUUUUAGAGUCCACCAGAUCAUCCAUGUGAGUGACCAUGCAGCAAAAGAAGGAGGGUCCUCUCAGUGAUUAAGCUUCCAAGUUUGCUGGAGCCAUGUUUUCUCUAAUGUCCCCACAGAACAGUGGUUGGUAGGAUGGCGGAGACAUGGACUUCAGAGAGUUCUUGGUAGAAGACUCAAAGAGCCACCUGUCAUGAGACAUCCCACUUCCUUCCCCAGGUUACUUCCAAGACUGAGCAGCCAGGUUUUUGGUAGAUGAGAACAAAUGUUUCUUCCUGAAGCCCUGGGGCUUCAGGUAGGAAGAAGGACUGCUAUACUUGUUCUCACCCUUGGCUUCUGGCUGCUCCAGUUAAACAUGGUUCCCAUUGAUACAGACAUUAGAGUGGGAAAGGACUUCGUUCAUAGACCGAAGACCCUCAAAGGAAAGUCCUUCCAUUUUGGGAAGGGUGACAUUGAUUUCGUUUAGCUGCUUAAGAUAUGUACUUGCUGUUGUCUUGUGAGACAUGACAUCUGAAGCUGAAGAGGAGUCCCUCUCAUUGUUGUCAUUGUCCCACCGGGACUGAAAGUCUCCCAGUUGAGGCAGCAUUUUAGCUUUGAUGUCUACAGGGCAAUCAUGGAUCAGGAAAUUUCUGCAAAUUAGACUUGGAAAACAAGGUCUUGAUCCUUCUUGUCUUUGGACGAAGACUAAUCAUCACUUUUGACUGAAGGUGUAGUGCUGGAGACUAUGUUGGAGGCAGCACCUGAUGCACUAUCCAUAUUCUUCCCCUUGAUCUUGUCUUAAAGUUUUCCAAAUGGAUUCCGAGGCUUGUCUUUGAUGAAAAGGUCAAACAUACUGGCAGUCAUGUUGUUUCUCAUAAGCUGGAUGUCAACCUCAAUUUCUCCUCUUUAUCCUUCUCUCCUGGUUUGGAUUUCAAGGUAUACCACCGCAUCUUCCUGCUCCCCUAGUCUGGGUGCAGGUCCUGCAGGUACACCUCGGCGAAGCCCAAGUACAGUAGCAGCAGCACCUCAAAGGUGGCCUCCUCCUCUGACACUGAGGUGGCAUACUUCUCCUUACCCACCUGAAUCACCGAGUACAUGUUGCUUGUACCGUCAGGCUCUUGGUUCUUGGCCCCUGGCCCUAUGCCUGCAACACUGUCACCUGCACGUGGAUUGGGAACCACAUAGCCCCCGGACCUGCUAAGGCCAUUAAGGACAGGAUGGUGAUGCCUCGGCUGACUGACGUGAGAAGAUUGUCAUGACCCAUGGCCUCUACUGCUGUCCUACCAACAGAAACUUCAUAAUGUUGUGCAGGCGUUACCACUACCUAGUUCCAGAACAUUGCCAUCACCCCCAAAA